GACGAACGCUGGCGGCGUGCUUAACACAUGCAAGUCGAACGGUCCUUCUCUUAUGAAGUUUUCGGAUGGAAUUUGAGAAUGGAUAGUGGCGGACGGGUGAGUAACGCGUGGGUAACCUGCCCUUAUGACCGGGACAACAGUUGGAAACGACUGCUAAUACCGGAUGUGCUCGGAGGAUGGCAUCUUCUUCCGAGGAAACGGAGGCCUCUAUUUAUAAGCUCCCGCAUAAGGAUGGACCCGCGUCUGAUUAGCUAGUUGGUGAGGUAACGGCUCACCAAGGCGACGAUCAGUAGCCGGCCUGAGAGGGUGGCCGGCCACACGGGGACUGAGACACGGCCCAGACUCCUACGGGAGGCAGCAGUGGGGAAUCUUCCGCAAUGGGCGCAAGCCUGACGGAGCAACGCCGCGUGAGCGAAGAAGGCCUUUGGGUCGUAAAGCUCUGUCCUUGGGGAAGAAACAAAUGACGGUACCCUUGGAGGAAGCCCCGGCUAACUACGUGCCAGCAGCCGCCGUAACAC
RNAcentral lists this ribosomal RNA (518 nucleotides) under uncultured bacterium. Its description in RNAcentral is "bacterial SSU rRNA". It matches the Rfam family "Bacterial small subunit ribosomal RNA", at positions 28 to 526 of the family's 1533-position model. The record is from RNAcentral.